RNAcentral lists this unclassified non-coding RNA (440 nucleotides) under Hevea brasiliensis (rubber tree). The record is from RNAcentral. Lineage: Eukaryota; Viridiplantae; Streptophyta; Magnoliopsida; Malpighiales; Euphorbiaceae.
GGCCAUACAAGUUUGCCCAAUUACAAAUAAAACCACAAAACGAUAAAUAAAACAUCUGUGAAAAAAUACUAAUGAGCACAAACCAUCAAACAGCCUAUCAGUUGAAUAAUGUAUGCAAUCCUAUAGACUAGAAGAAUCAUUCAAAGUUACAAACAUCAUAGUUAUCAGGCUAAAAAAAUUAUGUACAGCACUAUCAAUACAAUACAAAAGAAAAAGUCAGUUCAACAUUUUGCAAAAAGAUCAUAUCUUUUUCCCAUCAGCAUCAUUCCAUCUCGUGAAACACCAGAUCCUUCAAAGGAAGUACAACUUCAGAUCAAAAGAAGGUAGAACUUCAGAUGAUGAACUAAUAUAAUAAAUUGAGCAGAACUUUCUGCAUAUCAAAUACGUUAGAUCAAUGUCAAAGAAACUUAUACUUACCAUUGUCAUCCACCUUAACAUAG